CGCUGAUGGCAGAUGAUCGCUGCCCCGAAGACAUUCGGGGUAGAGGAAAGUCCGAACACCAUACGGCAGCAUGCCGCGUAGAAGACGCGGGCGUCGCAGUUGCAAAAUUGCGGCGACGGAAAGUGUCGCAGAAAAGACACCGCCGGUUCUUUGAAAGAAGCACAGGUAAGGUUGAAAUGGCGAGGUAAGAGCUCACCGCGCGCGGAGUAAUUCGCGCGGCAGGAAAAACCCCAUGCGGUGCAAGACAAAACAGAGGGAGGGCCGCCGGUCCGCUGAUCCUCGGGUAUCGUCGCAUCACGGCGCGUGCAAACGCGUCGGGCGGCUCACGCGAGUGAGUUGAGAUAAAUGAUCAUCCGUUCGAGCAAUCGAGCGACAGAAUUCGGCUUACCGCCAUCGAUAU
Molecule: RNase P RNA, 400 nt
Filed under: Verrucomicrobiota bacterium
Lineage: Bacteria; Pseudomonadati; Verrucomicrobiota
Description: RNase P RNA component class A
Rfam family: Bacterial RNase P class A
About the family: Ribonuclease P (RNase P) is a ubiquitous endoribonuclease, found in archaea, bacteria and eukarya as well as chloroplasts and mitochondria. Its best characterised activity is the generation of mature 5'-ends of tRNAs by cleaving the 5'-leader elements of precursor-tRNAs. Cellular RNase Ps are ribonucleoproteins.
Source: RNAcentral